UCCUCCCUGGAUUGACCUCUGUCCAUGAAGUCUUUAAUGAUACACUUCCUCAUAAAAAUAGAUGGGGAUGACCAUAUUAUGAGCUUCCAUCUUUGAAGACCAGGUAACUCCUCUUUCUCUCUCAAUCCCUUAUUUUUUCUCUUGCAGGAGCUUUAUUCUCUCUCAAAUCAGAGUUUCUCCUCUCUUUAUUUUGGUAAAAAAUUUCCCCCCAACAAUAUAAUGAUGUGGCACAUUCCCUCCUGACUGAUUCUCUGUGCUGUGUCUUAGACCUUUUAGUAUCGUCCAAAGCCACAUAUCAAGUUUCGUUUGAUUAGCAGCAGAAUACCGAUGGUAAUGACUAAAAUGGAUUCAAUCCCUUAAGUUAGGGAUUCAAUUGAAACUUUUCAAGGGUUGG
This 394-nucleotide long non-coding RNA is filed under the name Elaeis guineensis (African oil palm). Its description in RNAcentral is "long non-coding RNA (EGUI_LNC017246)". The record is from RNAcentral. Lineage: Eukaryota; Viridiplantae; Streptophyta; Magnoliopsida; Arecales; Arecaceae.